UUUUUGGAGAGUUUGAUCCUGGCUCAGGACGAACGCUGGCGGCGUGCCUAAUACAUGCAAGUCGAGCGGACUUGAA
This 76-nucleotide ribosomal RNA is filed under the name Paenibacillus glucanolyticus. Its description in RNAcentral is "partial 16S ribosomal RNA". It matches the Rfam family "Bacterial small subunit ribosomal RNA", at positions 1 to 76 of the family's 1533-position model. Lineage: Bacteria; Bacillati; Bacillota; Bacilli; Caryophanales; Paenibacillaceae. The record is from RNAcentral.